AUUGAACGCUGGCGGCAUGCCUUACACAUGCAAGUCGAACGGCAGCGCGGACUUCGGUCUGGCGGCGAGUGGCGAACGGGUGAGUAAUGUAUCGGAACGUACCAUUCAGUGGGGGAUAACGCAGCGAAAGCUGCGCUAAUACCGCAUAUUCUGUGCGCAGGAAAGCAGGGGAUCGCAAGACCUUGCGCUGAUUGAGCGGCCGAUAUCAGAUUAGCUAGUUGGUGAGGUAAAGGCUCACCAAGGCGACGAUCUGUAGCGGGUCUGAGAGGAUGAUCCGCCACACUGGAACUGAGACACGGUCCAGACUCCUACGGGAGGCAGCAGUGGGGAAUUUUGGACAAUGGGCGCAAGCCUGAUCCAGCCAUGCCGCGUGAGUGAAGAAGG
Molecule: ribosomal RNA, 384 nt
Filed under: uncultured bacterium
Lineage: Bacteria
Description: bacterial SSU rRNA
Rfam family: Bacterial small subunit ribosomal RNA
Source: RNAcentral